This 479-nucleotide ribosomal RNA is filed under the name Streptococcus cristatus. RNAcentral describes it as "bacterial SSU rRNA". It matches the Rfam family "Bacterial small subunit ribosomal RNA", at positions 28 to 493 of the family's 1533-position model. Lineage: Bacteria; Bacillati; Bacillota; Bacilli; Lactobacillales; Streptococcaceae. The record is from RNAcentral.
GACGAACGCUGGCGGCGUGCCUAAUACAUGCAAGUAGAACGCUGAAGGAGGAGCUUGCUCUUCUGGAUGAGUUGCGAACGGGUGAGUAACGCGUAGGUAACCUGCCUGGUAGCGGGGGAUAACUAUUGGAAACGAUAGCUAAUACCGCAUAAUAUUGACUAUUGCAUGAUAGUCAAUUGAAAGGUGCAAAUGCACCACUACCAGAUGGACCUGCGUUGUAUUAGCUAGUUGGUGGGGUAACGGCUCACCAAGGCGACGAUACAUAGCCGACCUGAGAGGGUGAUCGGCCACACUGGGACUGAGACACGGCCCAGACUCCUACGGGAGGCAGCAGUAGGGAAUCUUCGGCAAUGGACGGAAGUCUGACCGAGCAACGCCGCGUGAGUGAAGAAGGUUUUCGGAUCGUAAAGCUCUGUUGUAAGAGAAGAACGAGUGUGAGAGUGGAAAGUUCACACUGGACGGUAUCUACCAGAAAGACG